RNAcentral lists this ribosomal RNA (253 nucleotides) under uncultured bacterium. RNAcentral describes it as "partial 16S ribosomal RNA". It matches the Rfam family "Bacterial small subunit ribosomal RNA", at positions 524 to 776 of the family's 1533-position model. The record is from RNAcentral.
UACGUAGGUGGCAAGCGUUGUCCGGAAUUACUGGGCGUAAAGGGCUCGUAGGCGGCCAACUAAGUCAGACGUGAAAUCCCUCGGCUCAACCGGGGAACUGCGUCUGAUACUGGAUGGCUCGAAUCCGGGAGAGGGAUGCGGAAUUCCAGGUGUAGCGGUGAAAUGCGUAGAUAUCUGGAGGAACACCGGUGGCGAAGGCGGCAUCCUGGACCGGCAUUGACGCUGAGGAGCGAAAGCCAGGGGAGCAAACGGG